RNAcentral lists this ribosomal RNA (253 nucleotides) under uncultured bacterium. Its description in RNAcentral is "partial 16S ribosomal RNA". It matches the Rfam family "Bacterial small subunit ribosomal RNA", at positions 524 to 776 of the family's 1533-position model. The record is from RNAcentral.
UACGUAGGGUGCGAGCGUUGUCCGGAAUUAUUGGGCGUAAAGAGCUCGUAGGCGGUUUGUCACGUCUGCUGUGAAAUCCCGAGGCUCAACCUCGGGCCUGCAGUGGGUACGGGCAGACUGGAGUGCGGUAGGGGAGAAUGGAAUUCCUGGUGUAGCGGUGGAAUGCGCAGAUAUCAGGAGGAACACCGGUGGCGAAGGCGGAUCUCUGGGCCUGUUCUGACGCUGAGGCGCGAAAGCUAGGGGAGCGAACAGG